Molecule: long non-coding RNA, 451 nt
Filed under: Erythranthe guttata (spotted monkey flower)
Lineage: Eukaryota; Viridiplantae; Streptophyta; Magnoliopsida; Lamiales; Phrymaceae
Description: long non-coding RNA (EGUT_LNC001082)
Source: RNAcentral
CUUAUUCAUUUCUUAUUGAAUACAUUUCUCUCUUGUUUGAGUACUCUACUGCAAUAUGUGGAUGGUCACCUGUAGAUUAACUUAUAAUGUGAGUUUCGACAACCAAAUCAGCAAAAUUCUUGGAAAGCAAUACCAAUAAUGUGUUAAAGUUAAAUAACCAAGACCUAUAAGUUAUACAUUCCAUACUAAGGCAAUGAAUGAAAGUUCAGUCCAUGUUAGUUAUUACUAUGGUGUCGCCCGGGUAAAAAGUUGAGCAAAAAUCUAAUUGCCAAGUAUACAAAAUACAUAAUAUUCAACCACAUAAUCACUAUUAACUGGCAACAUUUAACACUUAAUCCAUCACUCAUUGAUAUGUACAAGCAGGGAGGGAGGAUUGAGGGAAUGAAUCAAGUACUGCAAAAUGUUGUUUGGCUUACCACCACGCCGAAGAUACUGGUUAUUGAAUACUACC